GACCCACACACACGCCGCCGAACAAGGCCCCGUGACUACCUGAAUGGACAGACUGUGGCAGCGCGGGGCGAGCCGAGCAUGACGAGACGACAAACGCUGCGGUGUCCUCCAGUGGAGGUUGGCACACUGCACGUUGCCAUCGGCCGUGUGGCUCAGCCGAAUAUCGCCAGGGUGUUCAGAGGCCUG
Petromyzon marinus (sea lamprey) is the source of this 186-nucleotide RNA transcript. RefSeq lists it as uncharacterized. The record is from RefSeq and is a predicted model, not a curated record. Lineage: Eukaryota; Metazoa; Chordata; Hyperoartia; Petromyzontiformes; Petromyzontidae.